UCUGGGAUAUAGAGAAAUGGAAAAUAGAAGAGUUCUAACCUCAUUCUGUAUUGCAAGGGAAGGAGCUUGUCAUAUAGUCACUUGUGUUGGACCCUUGAAUGGCUCAACUCACUGUCCUCGUACAGUGAUCACUUCAAAGAAGCACGUGUUUCACUGAAUACAACCAGGGGCCCAUCUAUCUCAUGCCUCUAGCUUUUCAUCCUCCUCCCUUGAAAAUUAAGAUGCUCUACAAACUGUUUUGAGGCUGCAUCUGGAUUUAGUAAAGAGUGUUGUCAUCAAUUUUCAGCUUCUACCUUAGGUGUAGGAGGGAACUGAGGCAGCAAGCAAGUAUUUGCUCACUGUCUGCAUCUUUCCAGUAUAGAGAAUGCAUCAGAGAAAUGCCUCAACAUGUGUGGCACUGUGUAUAUAAUUUCCAACACUGCAAAAUGGAACAAGCACAAAACUUUGAAGGGACGGUCUAUGUGAUGAAAAGUUGGAACGGCUUCCAAGAGCUGAAAUACAAUGUUGUCAGUGUUUCUCCCUCACCAUGAUAUUUGAACCAAAGCUGUCUGAUAACAAAUGAAAAGCUUUCUGGGA
Homo sapiens (human) is the source of this 576-nucleotide long non-coding RNA. RefSeq lists it as uncharacterized. Lineage: Eukaryota; Metazoa; Chordata; Mammalia; Primates; Hominidae. The transcript is spliced from 2 exons. The record is from RefSeq and is a predicted model, not a curated record.